RNAcentral lists this long non-coding RNA (517 nucleotides) under Trifolium pratense (red clover). Its description in RNAcentral is "long non-coding RNA (TPRA_LNC010107)". The record is from RNAcentral. Lineage: Eukaryota; Viridiplantae; Streptophyta; Magnoliopsida; Fabales; Fabaceae.
UUCAAUCACAUAAAACUGCCUAAACUUUAAAAAUGUGCUUCAUAAUCAAUUAUCAAUGCACAUUCAGAUUAACGCAAACAUUACAAAUUAAACCAUAAAAUAUCAAAGAACUUAUACAGCAUUCAACAAGUUUCAUAAUACAAGUACACUUACCAGAUUAACUAAACUGAACAUAAAAUGCUUAACAUUAGCCUCCUAACAUCAUCAUAGAUCAUAUAUUGUCCAAACCUUCUACAUACUACAUCCUUCAACAAUUGAACUUAAAUUUGACUUCACUUAACAUCAGGAUCUGUACCAAUUUUGUAGACAUGACACUUCUUUUCCCAUGUUGCUACAUCCGAAUCAAACUUAAAACGCAGAAUAUCACCUUUGUAAAAAUCGUUGCAUUGACAAAAAUGAUUCCAGCAAUAACCCAAUUGAAUCUUAUAAGGAGAUCGCCUUCCUCUCACCUUCAAAUCAUACACCUCUCCAUCAUCUAAGCAAGCAGCCAGUGCAGACCAAUCAUUCUCCUUCAGAU